This 239-nucleotide ribosomal RNA is filed under the name uncultured Mesorhizobium sp. RNAcentral describes it as "partial 16S ribosomal RNA". It matches the Rfam family "Bacterial small subunit ribosomal RNA", at positions 100 to 355 of the family's 1533-position model. Lineage: Bacteria; Pseudomonadati; Pseudomonadota; Alphaproteobacteria; Hyphomicrobiales; Phyllobacteriaceae. The record is from RNAcentral.
AGACGGGCGAGUAACGCGUGGGAAUCUACCCAUCACUACGGAACAACUCCGGGAAACUGGAGCUAAUACCGUAUACGUCCUUCGGGAGAAAGAUUUAUCGGUGAUGGAUGAGCCCGCGUUGGAUUAGCUAGUUGGUGGGGUAAUGGCCUACCAAGGCGACGAUCCAUAGCUGGUCUGAGAGGAUGAUCAGCCACACUGGGACUGAGACACGACCCAGACUCCUACGGGAGGCAGCAGCU